Molecule: ribosomal RNA, 533 nt
Filed under: uncultured bacterium
Lineage: Bacteria
Description: bacterial SSU rRNA
Rfam family: Bacterial small subunit ribosomal RNA
Source: RNAcentral
AAUAGAUACCCGGGUAGUCCUAGCCAUCAACGAUGGAUACUGGAUAUUCCUGCACUCAUGUGGGAGUGUCGAAGCCAACGCGUUAAGUAUCCCGCCUGGGGAGUACGGUCGCAAGAUUGAAACUCAAAGGAAUUGACGGGGGCCCGCACAAGCGGUGGGGGCAUGUGGUUUAAUUCGACGCAACGCGAAGAACCUUACCUGGGCUUGAACUGUCGGUAUAGGGACCCGAAAGGGCGACGAUCCCGGGCAACCGGGAAGCCGAUAGAGGUGCUGCAUGGCUGUCGUCAGCUCGUGUCGUGAGAUGUUGGGUUAAGUCCCGCAACGAGCGCAACCCUUGUCUUUAGUUGCCAGCGAGUCAUGUCGGGCACUCUAAGGAGACUGCCUCGGAUAACGAGGAGGAAGGUGGGGAUGACGUCAAGUCAGCAUGGCCUUUAUGUCCAGGGCUACACACGUGCUACAAUGGGCGGCACAGAAGGACGCGAGACCGCGAGGUCAAGCCAACCCUUAAAACCGUUCUCAGUUCGGAUUGCAGG